GAUGAAGAACGUAGCGAAAUGCGAUAAGUAAUGUGAAUUGCAGAAUUCAGUGAAUCAUCGAAUCUUUGAACGCACAUUGCGCCCGCUAGUAUUCUGGCGGGCAUGCCUGUUCGAGCGUCAUUUCAACCAUCAAGCCCUAGGCUUGCGUUGGAGCCCUGCGGCUGCCGCAGGCUCCCAAAUCCAGUGGCGGGCUCGUCGUCGUACCGAGUGCAGUAAACAUCCUCGCUCAGGGAACGUGACGGGUUCUUGCCGUGAAACCCCCCACAUAUCAAGGUUGACCUCGGAUCAGGUAGGAAUACCCGCUGAACUUAAGCAUAUCAUAAGCGGAGGA
RNAcentral lists this unclassified non-coding RNA (331 nucleotides) under soil metagenome. Its description in RNAcentral is "partial contains 5.8S ribosomal RNA, internal transcribed spacer 2, and large subunit ribosomal RNA". The stretch from base 1 to 120 matches the Rfam family "5.8S ribosomal RNA", at positions 35 to 154 of the family's 154-position model. The record is from RNAcentral.